CUACGGGUUGCACCAGUGGGGAAUAUUGCACAAUGGGGGAAACCCUGAUGCAGCCAUGCCGCGUGUGUGAAGAAGGCUUUCGGGUUGUAAAGCACUUUCAGUGGGGAGGAAAGGGUGCAGAUUAACACUCUGUAUCUGUGACGUUACCCACAGAAGAAGCACCGGCUAACUCCGUGCCAGCAGCCGCGGUAAUACGGAGGGUGCGAGCGUUAAUCGGAAUUACUGGGCGUAAAGCGCGCGUAGGUGGUUAAUUAAGUCAGAUGUGAAAGCCCAGGGCUCAACCCUGGAACAGCAUUUGAAACUGGUUAACUAGAGUUUUGUAGAGGGUGGUAGAAUUUCAGGUGUAGCGGUGAAAUGCGUAGAGAUCUGAAGGAAUACCAGUGGCGAAGGCGGCCACCUGGACAGAGACUGACACUGAGGCGCGAAGGCGUGGGGAGCAAACGGGAUUAGAUACCCCGGUAGUC
Molecule: ribosomal RNA, 464 nt
Filed under: uncultured bacterium
Lineage: Bacteria
Description: partial 16S ribosomal RNA
Rfam family: Bacterial small subunit ribosomal RNA
Source: RNAcentral